GAGUUUGAUCCUGGCUCAGGAUUAACGCUGGCGGCGUGCCUAAUACAUGCAAGUCGAACGGAAGUACCUUCGGGUACUUUAGUGGCGAACGGGUGAGUAAUACAUAGGUAACCUACCCUUAAGACGAGGAUAGCCAUUGGAAACGAUGGAUAAAACUGUAUAGGAUAUAGAGGAAGAAUCUUUUAUAUUUAAAAGAGAGAUCUGCUUAAGGAGGGGCCUGUGGCGCAUUAGCUAGUUGGUGGGGUUAGGGCCUACCAAGGCGAUGAUGCGUAGCCGGACUGAGAGGUUGAACGGCCACAAUGGAACUGAGAACGGUCCAUACUCCUACGGGAUGCAGCAGUAGGGAAUU
Molecule: ribosomal RNA, 349 nt
Filed under: uncultured bacterium
Lineage: Bacteria
Description: bacterial SSU rRNA
Rfam family: Bacterial small subunit ribosomal RNA
Source: RNAcentral